AGAGUUUGAUCAUGGCUCAGGAUGAACGCUGGCGGUAUGCUUAACACAUGCAAGUCGAACGGAAUCUUCGGAUUUAGUGGCGGACGGGUGAGUAACGCGUGAGAAUCUGGCUUCAGGUCGGGGACAACAGUUGGAAACGACUGCUAAUACCGGAUGUGCCGAAAGGUGAAAGAUUAAUUGCCUGAAGAUGAGCUCGCGUCUGAUUAGCUAGUUGGUGUGGUAAGAGCGCACCAAGGCGACGAUCAGUAGCUGGUCUGAGAGGAUGAUCAGCCACACUGGGACUGAGACACGGCCCAGACUCCUACGGGAGGCAGCAGUGGGGAAUUUUCCGCAAUGGGCGAAAGCCUGACGGAGCAAUACCGCGUGAGGGAGGAAGGCUCUUGGGUUGUAAACCUCUUUUCUCAAGGAAUAACUCAAUGAAGGUACUUGAGGAAUAAGCAUCGGCUAACUCCGUGCCAGCAGCCGCGGUAAUACGGAGGAUGCAAGCGUUAUCCGGAAUGAUUGGGCGUAAAGGGUCCGCAGGUGGCAUUGUAAGUCUGCUGUCAAAGAAUGAGGCUCAACCUCAUCAAGGCAGUGGAAACUACAAAGCUAGAGUACGGUCGGGGUAGAAGGAAUUCCUGGUGUAGCGGUGAAAUGCGUAGAUAUCAGGAAGAACACCGGUGGCGAAAGCGUUCUGCUAGGCCUGUACUGACACUGAGGGACGAAAGCUAGGGGAGCGAAUGGGAUUAGAUACCCCAGUAGUCCUAGCCGUAAACGAUGGAUACUAGGCGUGGCUUGUAUCGACCCGAGCCGUGCCGGAGCCAACGCGUUAAGUAUCCCGCCUGGGGAGUACGCACGCAAGUGUGAAACUCAAAGGAAUUGACGG
This 865-nucleotide ribosomal RNA is filed under the name uncultured bacterium. Its description in RNAcentral is "bacterial SSU rRNA". It matches the Rfam family "Bacterial small subunit ribosomal RNA", at positions 8 to 916 of the family's 1533-position model. The record is from RNAcentral.